Long non-coding RNA from Ziziphus jujuba (common jujube), 2444 nucleotides. RefSeq lists it as uncharacterized. The record is from RefSeq and is a predicted model, not a curated record. NCBI's taxonomy places the organism in Eukaryota, Viridiplantae, Streptophyta, Magnoliopsida, Rosales, Rhamnaceae. The transcript has 3 exons.
CGUUUACAUAGGCGGACAUCCUGAAAUCCCAGGUGGAUUGUCAGCAAAAUAGACAUUGUAAUUAACUCAAACUUUAAGAGAGGUAAAUGCAAUAUCUCCAUGAUAUAAAAGCCAUUGGUGGUAUAAAUAGUAGAUAUUCUUGGAAAACCCUAAUUUCCUUUUGUUGUACAGUGCAUCUAAACUUCUUCUUGUCAGCAAAAUAGACAUUGUAAUUAACUCAAACUUUAAGAGAGUGCAUCUAAAUUUCUUCGACAGUGUCGCUUCUCAUUUCCUUGGUUGAAGGGCGAUUAUGAUCUCUGAUAUCCGCCAUAAUGGCGCGCAGUUGGACAUGGGUGAGCUACAUAAUUGAUUACUAGCCAUUGCCUUUACUAUCAUUGCUUUGCUGGUGUUUAGCAAGGGGUGAGCUGCAUAAUUGGAUUGAUCAGCUGCAUGAUUAAGAUUGAACUAUUUUGUCCUGCCCCCUCAAGCUAGCGGGUGAAAUGGAAUGAAUUCCAAGCUUGCCUCGAAAAUUGUGGAACAAGUCACUGGUCAAUGGUUUUGUCUGAAUGUCUUCAAUCUGAAGGUGAGAAGGAAGAAAACGUGUGACAAGCUGUCCUGUGGCAACCUGUUCCCUAACAAAGUGAUAAUCAAUUUGGACAUGCUUGGUACGGCCAUGGAGAACUGGAUUCACUGUCAUAUGCAAAGCACUGAGAUUGUCACAAAAAAGCUGUGGAGGUUUAAGAAGAGGAACACCAAUAUCUCAUAAGAGGAAUGUGAUCCACAUGAGUUCUGCAGUUGUUGAGGCCAUUGCUUGACAUUUUGCUUUUGUACUUGAUCGUGCAACAGUUGGUUGUUUAUUUAAGGAACAAAAGAUGCAGUUGGCUCCGAUGUAAACAUAAUAGCCACUUGUACUUCGACGGGUGUCAGGGCAUCUAGCCCAAUCUACAUCACAAAAACCAGUUAAAUUAAAAAAACUUUGUUGAAUGAAUCUUAUCCCAAAAUUGAUUGUUCCUUUGAGGUAAUGAAGUAUGCGUUUGACUUCACAAAGAUGGGAUUGGGUAGGAUUUUGGAAAUGCUUGCAUACUCUACUAAUGACAUGGGCUAUAUCUGGACGAGUGAAUGUGAGGUAUUGUAAACUGCCAACCAGUUUUUGAUAUUCUAUAGCAUUGGUAGGCUGGUUAUCAUCAUCUUGAGGUGUCACUUUUAUGGCCAGUAGAGUUUUAAUUUUAGCAGCUUCUAGCAUCUUUGCUCGAAGUAGAAGAUCUCUGCUAUAUUUUUCUUGACUUAGAAAGAUGUCCCCUUGAAAAUACCAUGCCUCAACUCCUAGAAAAUAAUGUAGCUUUUCGAGGUCCUUUGUAGCAAAUUUUGUACCCAAUCUGCUUAUUAAGCUAUUGAUCAUAACAGGAUCAUUUCCUGUUAAAAGUAAGUCAUCGACAUAGAUCAAUAAUAGGAUAGUAAUAUUAUUUUUUUUGGAAAACAAAGAGAGAGGAAUAAGAUUUAAUAGAUUUAAAACCAAGACAAAGAAAGAAUUAAGACAAACAGUCAAACCAUGCUCUAGGGGCUGGUUUGAGUCCAUAAAGUGAUCUUUUUACAAAUAAACAUGGUCAGGAUAAGUUAAAGAGAUAAAACCUGGAGGUUGCUUCAUAUAAAUGGUUUCUUUCAGAUGUCCAUGCAAGAAAGCAUUCUUAAUAUCAAGCUGUCGAAUUGUCCAGUUUGAUAUAACAACAAUGGAGAUGACUAAUCUGAUAGUGGUAUGCUUGACUACUGGACUGAAGGUUUCGUCAAAAUCAAUCCCUUCAACCUGUGUAUAUCCUUGUGCCACCAGUCAUGCUUUCAAUCACUCCAUUGUACCAUCCUCUUUAUAUUUGGUCCUGUACACCCAUUUGGAUCUAAUGAUAUUUGUAUUUUGAGGUCUUUGAACUAGUAUCCAAGUAUUAUUGUUAUGAAGAGCAGUAACUUCUUCUUGCAUGGCAUGAAAUCAGAAUGGAUCUUGAAGAGCUUUUCGAAAAGUCUUUGGUUCAUCAGAUACAAGUGCCAUUUGAGAUGCAAGAUUGAGAUUGCUUUGAAGUUUUCUUCUUGUAAUCAUUGGAUGACCAUUGAGAUUUGUGAAUUUGUUUGAUUGAUAUUGGUUGGAGAGACCUACAAAUCAAUUGUUAGAUUAUCUUGAAUACCUCUAGGAUCGUGAACUGAGAUAAUAGGAAGAUAUGAUUGUUUUUCAUAUUGGCUUGGCUGUUCUGGUUGUGAUUGACUGGUACGAUUUUGUUCAAUGUUGGAUGUAGAAGGAUCAACAUCUCUUUGUUGAUUUGAGUUGCUGGAGAAUCAGUGAUAGAAUGAGGAUUUGUUUUGUUCAUUCUGUUCCUCAUGCAUGCUGCUGGUGCUGUCAAGUUCAACAACUCCUAGCUUAUUCUGCUCUUCAUGUUUAUUGCUGCUGGUGCUGUCAGGUUCAACAUUUCUUAGCUCAGUCU